Molecule: ribosomal RNA, 253 nt
Filed under: uncultured bacterium
Lineage: Bacteria
Description: partial 16S ribosomal RNA
Rfam family: Bacterial small subunit ribosomal RNA
Source: RNAcentral
UACGUAGGGGGCAAGCGUUGUCCGGAAUCAUUGGGCGUAAAGCGUGCGUAGACGGUUAUUUAAGUCAGGUGUGAAAGCCCAGGGCUCAACCUUGGAAUUGCAUUUGAGACUGAAUAGCUAGGGUGCGGAAGAGGGAAGCGGAAUUUCCGGUGUAGCGGUGAAAUGCGUAGAUAUCGGAAGGAACACCAGUGGCGAAAGCGGCUUCCUGGUCCAGCACCGACGUUCAGGCACGAAAGCGUGGGGAGCAAACAGG